GACGAACGCUGGCGGCGUGCUUAACACAUGCAAGUCGAACGGAAAGGCCCUGCUUUUGUGGGGUGCUCGAGUGGCGAACGGGUGAGUAACACGUGAGUAACCUGCCCUUGACUUUGGGAUAACUUCAGGAAACUGGGGCUAAUACCGGAUAGGAGCUCCUGCUGCAUGGUGGGGGUUGGAAAGUUUCGGCGGUUGGGGAUGGACUCGCGGCUUAUCAGCUUGUUGGUGGGGUAGUGGCUUACCAAGGCUUUGACGGGUAGCCGGCCUGAGAGGGUGACCGGCCACAUUGGGACUGAGAUACGGCCCAGACUCCAACGGGAGGCAGCAGUGGGAAAUAUUGCACAAUGGGCGGAAGCCUGAUGCAGCAACGCCGCGUGCGGGAUGACGGCCUUCGGGUUGUAAACCGCUUUCGCCUGUGACGAAGCGUGAGUGACGGUAAUGGGUAAAGAAGCACCGGCUAACUACGUG
This 468-nucleotide ribosomal RNA is filed under the name uncultured bacterium. RNAcentral's name for it is "partial 16S ribosomal RNA". It matches the Rfam family "Bacterial small subunit ribosomal RNA", at positions 28 to 507 of the family's 1533-position model. The record is from RNAcentral.